UACCGCAUAACGUCGCAAGACCAAAGGAGGGGACCUUCGGGCCUCUUGCCAUCGGAUGUCGCCCAGAGUGGGAUUAGCUAGUAGGGUGGGGUAACGGCUCACCUAGGCGACGAUCCCCUAGCUGGUCUGAGAGGAUGACCAGCCACACUGGAACUGAGACACGGUCCAGACUCCUACGGGAGGCAGCAGGUGGGGAAUAUUGCACAAUGGGCGCAAGCCUGAUGCAGCCAUGCCGCGUGUAUGAAGAAGGCCGUUCGGGUUGUAAAGUUACUUUCAGCGGGGAGGAAGGGAGUAAAGUUAAUACCUUUGCUCAUUGACGUUACCCGCAGAAGAAGCACCGGCUAACUCCGUG
Molecule: ribosomal RNA, 352 nt
Filed under: uncultured bacterium
Lineage: Bacteria
Description: bacterial SSU rRNA
Rfam family: Bacterial small subunit ribosomal RNA
Source: RNAcentral